This 432-nucleotide ribosomal RNA is filed under the name uncultured bacterium. RNAcentral describes it as "partial 16S ribosomal RNA". It matches the Rfam family "Bacterial small subunit ribosomal RNA", at positions 29 to 507 of the family's 1533-position model. The record is from RNAcentral.
AACGAACGCUGGCGGCAUGCCUAACACAUGCAAGUCGAACGAGACCUUCGGGUCUAGUGGCGCACGGGUGCGUAACGCGUGGGAACCUGCCCUUAGGUUCGGAAUAACUCCCCGAAAGGGGUGCUAAUACCGGAUAAUGUCUUCGGACCAAAGAUUUAUCGCCUUUGGAUGGGCCCGCGUUGGAUUAGCUAGUUGGUAGGGUAAAAGCCUACCAAGGCGACGAUCCAUAGCUGGUCUGAGAGGAUGAUCAGCCACACUGGGACUGAGACACGGCCCAGACUCCUACGGGAGGCAGCAGUGGGGAUUAUGGGACAAUGGCGAAAGCCUGAUCCAGCAAUGCCGCGUGAGUGAUGAAGGCCUUAGGGUUGCAAAGCUCUUUUACCCGGGAUGAUAAUGACAGUACCGGGAGAAUAAGCUCCGGCUAACUCCGUG